GAGGAGUUCCUGCUGUGGCGCAGUAGGUUAAGGAUCUGGGGCUGCCACAGCUGUGGCAUAGGUCACAACUGCCCGAGAGAAGGGUCGAUUUCUCAGUUUUCUGGGCAAUGGUUGUAGCUACAUCUGGAGACCAGGGCUGCUCUGUCUGUGCCGUCUGGCUUUUUGCCUCUGGCUUCUCCCUGCAGACCCAGGCUGGCCGCCUGUCUAGUACCCAUGGCUUCCAUCUUCUGUCUUUCUCACAGUCCAAUUCUCCAGGCUCUGGAGGUUUCUUUUGUCCCACCUCCACUGUGCUGUCCUGUGUCGUGUAACCCCAAGGCUCUGCCAGGCAGUUGAAGCUGAUCCCAUUGACUAAUUCAGAGUAAAAUGGUGAAGAAGAUGAGUGGCACUAUUUAUUGCCUUUUCGUAAACAUUUGUAUUGUAAAGCUUUAGAUCCUUUAAAAAAGAGUGGGAAAAGAAGGGGGGGACAUGAUAAUAGGGGAAGGGAAUUAAGAGGUAUAAACGAGGAGGUCACACUACUGGGUAUAAAACAAGAUACAAGGAAAUAAUGUGGUGUGGCCCAUAAGGCGUAUAGCCGACAUUGUACAAUAACUGUAAACGGAGUAUAAUCUGUCAGAAUAUGGAAUCACUAGGUUAUAAACCUGAAGCUGAUGUAAUAAUGUAAAUCAACUGAAAAAAUGAGUGGAACAGGCCAGUGAGGCAAGAGUGGGAAAGUAGCUUUGCUUUUCUGGACGACACCUUGGAUCGUGCAAACCGCAUAGCUCAUCCUGUCCAGACACCGUCCAUGCACAAGCCUGAGCUCAAGGUCAUCUCUGUCCCGUUGUUCCUGAGGAAGAUUAAACCUGCUUUACUCCAGACAUGUCUUUUAUGAGUUCUUCCUCUCUCUAUAAUCAGGUCCUAAGCUACUAAUAAAAAGGAAUCCUCUUUUAAAUCCAGUUCUUUUCAUGAACAAAAGGAACCUAAUACGUAUCUACUAACGAUGAAAUAUUAAUAUGCCUGAAGGAGUCAGCAGCAAGUCUUGCCUAGUGGUAGAAUCUGCUUUCAAGGCUUUAUUGGAAAGGCCCUAUGAGGGCUUGGAUUUUGUGUUACGAGAAUCACUAAUUAAUCGAAACCCUCGAGUGAAGGUCAUUUCUUUUCCCUCUGGCCAAUUCGUGUUGCAGAUACACUGCUCUCAGGGCUGAAAUUGAAUGCUCUCUGGAGAGAAUUAGCCUUAGAUGCCGCAUUGUUAGCACUGUGAUCCGCUUGCUCGCUCCACAGGGCAGCAGGUUGCUCCUUUCCCUCGAAAGCUUCAUCAAUGCUGGUGGCUGUAGGCAUUUAGGGACACCAAGGACGUGUGUCAGAAGCACGUCUUACUCUCCUCUGGGCACUCAGAAGUGAUCCAUACCAUCUUGAGUGGUGACCUGUGGCACACCUGGGGGCUGAAUCCUAGGACUGCUCCAGACGAAUUGUGACCAUAAGUCAGUCGUUCAACCUCUCUGAGCCUCAGCUGUUGUAUCUAUAAAACAGGAAUUAUGAUCCCCUUUCAUGGGCUUAUUUUUAAGAUUGAAAUGAGCUAUGUGUGCAAAGAGUUUGGCACAGAUGAGAGUGGCUGGCUGGUGAAUGGGAGCUCUGUAACGUGGCAAACCCCAAAUGGUUUGCAUUGCGGCCCACUGAACCGCCGUCUGGGAUGGCGUGUGGACGUAGAGGGCGCAGACGGAGAAAUUUGGGAUUUCAAGUGGUCGUCUCUUCAAAUGGCCCCAGAGGUUGGCCAUGGAGACUCGAAUGUCUCCUGUUGGCACGUGGGUUCUCCCUCCAGGUAAGGGCUUGGCUUUGGCUGCUGCCAUGGAGAGGACUCUGAGCGGGGAAGGGCCGAGGGUGAGUACGCUGGCCGGAUGCCCAGGACUCUCGUUGCCCUAGACUGCAUGUUUGUGCCCCCCUCAUUCAUAUGUUGAAAUCCUGACCCCACAGUGUGAUGGUUGGGAGGUGACUGGGUGAUGAGAUGGAGCCUUAUGAGCGGAUUAGCGCCCUUAUGGCCCAGAGCUCAGGGAGCUCCCUUGUCCCUUCCUCCGCGUGAGGACACAGGAGAAGACGGUGGUCUGCAGACCAGGAAGCUGCACUCGCCGGACACCGACUCUGCCGGUGUCUUGAUCUUAGACUUCUUAGCCUCUAGAGCUGUGAGAAGUAAAUUUCUGUUUACAAGCCACCCAGUCUAUAGUACUCUGUUACAGAAGCUGGACCGGACUAACACAGCUGUCCGUGUUAUGAUCCAGUGGUCUGAUUGAAGUUUUUUAAAAAACACUAUUUUUAGAGUAGUUUCAGGUCCCCAGCAAAAUUGAGGGAAAAUAGAUUUCCCAUCCACCCUUGCACCAAUGCACGGGCCUCCCCAUUAUCAGCCUCCUUCCCUGGAUGGUGUAUUUGUUGCAAUUGAUGAACCUUCCUUGACUUCACGGUCACCAAGAGUCCGUGGCUGACCUUAGGGGCCACCCUUAAUGUCGUACAUCCCGUGUGUUUGUACAGGUGCACGUGACGUGUGUCCACCGUUGGAGUGCCUGUGAUUCCCCCGCUCUGCCAGUUCAUCCUUUCCUUCCCAUUAGUCUUACUGGCUUUUCAGCGAGACUUCAGUUGUUUUGCAUGUGGGACAGGACAUGUUUCUAAGUGUAUUCAUCUGUUUUUAUCUACUUACAUCGUAAGAUCGAACGUUAAAAGUAGGUUCAGCUCAGAUACUGAAAGGUAAAUUCUAUAAUCAUGCAUAUUUUGUGGCUAUGGAUUCUUGUCUUGACAAGUCAGCCUUGCGUGGGGGAAUUCUCUUAGAAUUCUCGGCUAUUCUUGCUCUGCAUCCCUGCCACUCCUCACCCUACGUCUCUCCAUUAUUUCAGCGGCUCUGAGGGUGGGAAUCAUGUCUUCCUCCAUUGCUGUACCUUAGCACACAGCGAGUGCUCAGCAGAGGAAGGGUGAUGCCCAAGUACCAGCGCCAAAAACCCCACUUCUUCAUCCAUGCUGUUGCGUAAUCUUCUGCUGACCACAGGCCACCCUCCCCUCGUGCUGCUGCUCCUGCCCAUCUUGAUAGCCAUUCACCUGAGGGAAAUUGGGCAGAGGUCCUGGUCUCCAGAGACAGGCAAAAGUUGCUUCUCACCAAGCCUGGGCAUGUGGCUGGUCAGGGUGGCCUUGCUCCAGUGGCUGAACCCCAUGUGGGGAGGCAUGGGGGCUUAGACACAAAUAACAGCCGUCUAACCCUGCAGGAUUCUCAUCUGGGGUCUUCAGGACAGUAGGAUGCAGUGAGAAGGGGUGUGUCUUGGGGCCCCGGGCCCCACGACUGUGCUGUAUUCUGAAUUUCUAGCCUGGCUCAUUUCAACUCAUUGAAACCUGGGGAAGUGAAGUUUAACAGCUGCGAAUUGGAGUCGGGUUAACUCUACCACCCUUGGUAAUGUGGUUAAAGGAAAAUAAGAGUGACCAGCUUUGAGAGUGUUCUGUAAUUGUUGCUGGUUAGGAGUUCCCGUCAUGGCUCAACAGUAACAAACCCGACUAGUAUCCAUGAAGAUGUGGGUUCGAUCCCUGGCCUCGAUUAGUGGGUUAAGGAUCCGGCGUUGCUGUGGCUUGGUGUAGGCCAGCAGCUGCAGCUCUGGUUGGACCCCUAGCCUGGGACAGCUGUAGCCCUAAAAAGCAAAAAAAAAAAANAAAAAAAAAAAAAAAAAAAAAAAAUAGUUGCUGGUUAAGUGCACAGUGUGUCCCCUUCUUGUCACCUCAAGGGCACCCCUGACUGAGGGUGCUGGCAGCAGAAGGACUAUCAGCAAAGCUAGUCCCCCUAAUACUCAGCACGCGGGCAGCUGCUUGUUGAAAACCCUCUGCACAGGCCCGGCCAUGUGCAUAAAGCGAGACUCAAGUUCUGCAGACCACAGAGGGGUUGUUGAGUGGCAAUUUGCCCAUGUUUCUUUUAAAAUAUUUUUUAAUUUUUUUUUUUUUUUU
This 3939-nucleotide long non-coding RNA is filed under the name Sus scrofa (pig). RNAcentral's name for it is "lncRNA (ENSSSCG00025062112.1)". The record is from RNAcentral. Lineage: Eukaryota; Metazoa; Chordata; Mammalia; Artiodactyla; Suidae.